GGUUAAGUUAAUAAGGGCGCACGGUGGAUGCCUUGGCACUAGGAGCCGACGAAGGACGUGACAAACGACGAUAUGCCUUGGGUAGCUGUAAGUAAGCGAUGAUCCAGGGAUUUCCGAAUGGGGGAACCCAACAGGUAAUACCUGUUACCCACAUCUGUUAAGGAUGUGAGGAGGAAGACGCAGUGAACUGAAACAUCUAAGUAGCUGCAGGAAGAGAAAGCAAAAGCGAUUGCCUUAGUAGCGGCGAGCGAAACGGCAGAAGGGCAAACCGAAGAGUUUACUCUUCGGGGUUGUAGGACUGCAAUGUGGACUCAAAGAUUAUAGAAGAAUGAUUUGGGAAGAUCAGCCAAAGAGAGUAAUAGCCUCGUAUUUAAAAUAGUCUUUGUACCUAGCAGUAUCCUGAGUACGGCGGGACACGUGAAAUCCCGUCGGAAUCUGGGAGGACCAUCUCCCAACCCUAAAUACUCCCUAGUGACCGAUAGUGAACCAGUACCGUGAGGGAAAGGUGAAAAGCACCCCGGGAGGGGAGUGAAAUAGAACCUGAAACCGUGUGCCUACAACAAGUUCGAGCCCGUUAAUGGG
RNAcentral lists this ribosomal RNA (582 nucleotides) under Streptococcus pneumoniae. RNAcentral describes it as "partial 23S ribosomal RNA". It matches the Rfam family "Bacterial large subunit ribosomal RNA", at positions 1 to 593 of the family's 2925-position model. The record is from RNAcentral. Lineage: Bacteria; Bacillati; Bacillota; Bacilli; Lactobacillales; Streptococcaceae.